Molecule: ribosomal RNA, 544 nt
Filed under: Sundathelphusa philippina
Lineage: Eukaryota; Metazoa; Arthropoda; Malacostraca; Decapoda; Parathelphusidae
Description: partial 16S rRNA
Rfam family: Bacterial large subunit ribosomal RNA
Source: RNAcentral
GUCUAUUUGGAGAUAUAAGAAGUCUGGCCUGCUCACUGAUCAAAAUGAUUUAAGGGCCGCGGUAUUAUGACCGUGCAAAGGUAGCAUAAUCAUUAGGUUUUUAAAUGGAAUCUCGUAUGAAUGGUUGGACAAAGGAAGAAUUGUCUUUAUAUAAGAAUUUGAAUUUUACUUUUAAGUGAGAAGGCUUAAAUGUUUUAGGGGGACGAUAAGACCCUAUAAAACUUUACAUUAUAAUUAUAUUUUGUUAAAUUUUAAUGAUAAAAAUUUUAUAUAAUAAUUUGUUUUGUUGGGGAGACAGAAGUAAAAAUUAUAUUAACUAUUUAAAAAAUAAACAUAAAUUUAUGGAGAUUAAUAGAUCCUAAAUAUAGAUUAAAAGAUUAAGUUACUUUAGGGAUAACAGUGUAAUUUUUUUUAAGAGUCCAUAUCGAAAAAAAAGUUUGCAACCUCGAUGUUGAAUUAAAAUGUCUAUAUAAUGCAGCUGUUAUAUAAGAAGGUCUGUUCGACCUUUAAUUUUUUACAUGAUUUGAGUUCAAAUCGGCGUGAG